This 2699-nucleotide long non-coding RNA is filed under the name Manacus vitellinus (golden-collared manakin). RNAcentral describes it as "lncRNA (ENSMVIG00005011682.1)". Lineage: Eukaryota; Metazoa; Chordata; Aves; Passeriformes; Pipridae. The record is from RNAcentral.
GGCAAUCUGUACCUACAAAUCAUCUUGGGAGGAAGGUAUAUUUACCUUGUCACAUUUUUAUAACUGAUCUGUCUUUUACAGGCCCUAUCUGUACAUCAGUAGCAGAUGCAGCCAUUGUUUACAGUAUCCUUGCUGAGCCAGACCCACUCUAUCCAUAUGGACUAAAACAGCCCAAAGCAACCCUAUCUGAUAUGUGUGCUCCUGACCUGAAAGGCUUAAAUCUGGGAGUGGACUGGACAUUUUUUAAGGCAUGUGAUGCUGAAGUCCUGUCCAUCUGCGAGAAAGCGGUGGAGCACCUGCAGAGUUUGGGAGCCAGUGUGGUUGAAGUCUCUCUUCUGGAGAUGGAGGAAGCUCGAGUAGCACAUGUAAUCUGCAUUCUCAGUGAGAUGAGAGACUUCCUGCAACCUGACUUCAAUAAACAUUUCCAGGAAAUGAAUUUGGACACUCGGGCUAACCUGGCCUUGGCUUGCCAGUUCACAGCUCUGGAUUAUAUUACGGCAAAUCGGCAGAGAACUCGGAGCAUGGGAUUUUUGCGAGAGAUCUUCAGCACUGUGAACUGUAUCCUUACACCAGCUGUUCCUUGCACUGCCCCAAGAAUUUAUGAAUCUGACCUCUUGACUGGGAGCAGCGAUAUGUCCUUCACAGUCCGGUCCAUGAGGUUCAUGCAGCUUGGUAACUUCACUGGGAUACCAGGCAUUGUGGUCCCCAUUGGAUAUUCUACUGCUGGGCUUCCUAUCAACCUUCAGGUCAUGGCAAAAUGGUGGGAUGAAGCUGUUCUUCUGAGGAUUGGCCUAAAGCUAGAGCAGUUUCGUUCCCAGACCAAAAAACCAUCCAUUUAUUAUGACAUCCUCGCAUGACAGAGUGACCAAGUUGGGGAUUAAGUCUUUUUUUUUCCCUAGUCUGACCUGACCAAGUAUUAAGAGUGGACUUGUUUUCAAUGUUUAUCUGAAAGGCUUAGUAGCAGGCUCAUUUGAGGAAUGGGGAUGAACCACUGAUCUAAGCAGGCACUGAUGCUGAGCAGACACAAUUUCUGCUCCCUGCUUGUCAGAUGGUCUAGUUUAUGCUAGGGAGACCAACUGUGCUAGUUCCUUGCUUUGUUUUUGCAGGGGAAGCUGCAACUAUCUUCUACAAUUUCUUCCCACGUAGGGGUCCUGUGUACAGAUGGAAGACAAUUGCAUCUACAGGACUGCAUGCAGGUAGUUCAUACUACUGUACAUGGAAAGGUACAAUCUCUAGGCCUUAAACCUUCCAAUGGAACUUCUCCUGCUAUAACAAAGGUCCUGUUUUUGAAGGGGAAGGGCAGCGAAUAAUGCCUAGCUCUCUUGGAAUGAGGAGGCUCUUAACACACCUGCAAUCAGGCAGUGUUUGUUUUGGCCCUGUACUUAGUCCCUCAGAGCAAAGCAGAAAUCCCAUAGGUACGGAAGUGUCACUGUGCUUGUCCCUCAUACUGCCAACACUGUGGGUGUGCUCACUGCCUGAGAGUCCUGCCUGCCUUCAGCCUUGCAUGGAAGGGAAAGAAAAAUCAGAGCAGGAACCCUCAUUAACUGACCCAAACCCCUGUUUCAGGGUUCUGGCUUUCCUUUGCACAUCUCUAUUUCCCAAGCUAAGACCUGGAGAGUCUCUUUUCUCCUGCUGGUUGCUUGAGUAUAAACCUACUGUCAUUUAGAUGUCCAAACGGGAGAAACUACUUGAUAAUGCAGAGAAAGUACUGUUCUAAGAGUGCUGAGGCAGCUAUUAGAAACAGCUGAAAUUUGUAGGAAAUGCUACUGAGCUACUGCGAAAGUUGAGGCUGGAUGCAAGAAAGUGUUGCACAAAGCCACGUGCAGCAAAGAGCCUGCUCUAGAUAAGAUGCCAGCCUUCUCUUAUUCCAAAAGCACUUCCUGAAGUAAUCACGGUAGAAUUAAGACAUGGAUUACUACAUAAAGCAUGGCAUGGCUCUAAGCCACAGUAUUGUGUUUUACUGAAAGGCUUCAGGCUGUAGGUUCAAGAGUACCUGUGUCCCAACAGCAGCACUAGGGCCACAUGAAAGAAGAAAAGGCCUAGGAGCAACUAAACCUAAGCAUUUGCGUUCAUUUCAGGGUAGCUUGAGGUUAAUGCUCAGAGGCAUCUCCUGUUGCCUACCUUAUCAGGUAUCUUGGGCUUCUGGUCAGGCUGCUGGAGGAGCUGCCCUACAGACAGGAGCGGAGAUCACUGUGUUCUUAUGUUGCUUGGAAGGAAAGAAGCAGCAGAAAGUAGUUGCAGUUUCUCCCAAACUCAGUAGAGUUUUGGGGUUUUUUUUCCCCCAUACCUAUCCACCGUUUAACCAUAGCUAGCUCUUUACUAAUGGCUGAAGUUAAGUCAGAUGGCAUCUGAAUGGAAGAACUUGCACUACCAUCUCCUUAAUUACCUGAGUUAAAGCAUCAACUCCUACCAUCAGCUGUCACCAGCAUCCACAGUUAAAUUAAUUAUAUGGUUGACACUGUCUUUGACCUUUAAUUCCUCUGCGAUACUGCCAAAAGUGUUUGUUCUCUAGAUUCUAGUACAGUUUAGCUUUAUGAGGAAUGGUUUAAAAGCAAAGUAUUUCCUCUGUUAUUAACCAUAAGUUAUUAAACACUGUCAACAUACCUUAGAGUGAAACACUGCUGAAAUGUUAGUAAUAAGGGAGGUGGUAAAUGUUUGACAAGAAUAAAUUUCUGCAAGGAACAGUACUGCUUGAAGAA